GAUGAACGCUGGCGGCGUGCCUAAUACAUGCAAGUCGAGCGAACAGACGAGGAGCUUGCUCCUCUGACGUUAGCGGCGGACGGGUGAGUAACACGUGGAUAACCUACCUAUAAGACUGGGAUAACUUCGGGAAACCGGAGCUAAUACCGGAUAAUAUAUUGAACCGCAUGGUUCAAUAGUGAAAGACGGUUUUGCUGUCACUUAUAGAUGGAUCCGCGCCGCAUUAGCUAGUUGGUAAGGUAACGGCUUACCAAGGCAACGAUGCGUAGCCGACCUGAGAGGGUGAUCAGCCACACUGGAACUGAGACACGGUCCAGACUCCUACGGGAGGCAGCAGUAGGGAAUCUUCCGCAAUGGGCGAAAGCCUGACGGAGCAACGCCGCGUGAGUGAUGAAGGUCUUCGGAUCGUAAAACACUGUUAUUAGGGAAGAACAAAUGUGUAUGUAACUAUGCACGUCUUGACGGUACCUAAUCAGAAAGCCACGGCUAACUACGUG
RNAcentral lists this ribosomal RNA (497 nucleotides) under uncultured bacterium. RNAcentral's name for it is "partial 16S ribosomal RNA". It matches the Rfam family "Bacterial small subunit ribosomal RNA", at positions 28 to 507 of the family's 1533-position model. The record is from RNAcentral.